AACGCACAUUGCGCCCUCUGGUAUUCCGGGGGGCAUGCCUGUUCGAGCGUCAUUACAACCCUCAAGCACUGCUUGGUGUUGGGUGUUCACUUUUUGUGCACCUUAAAAUCAGUGGCGAUGCCCUGCAGCUUCAAGUGUAGUAAAUUUCUCGCUAUGGAGCCUUGUUAGGAACACUGCCAACAACCUUCUAUUUUAUCUAAGGUUGACCUCGGAUCAGGUAGGGAUACCCGCUGAACUUAA
RNAcentral lists this unclassified non-coding RNA (240 nucleotides) under uncultured fungus. RNAcentral's name for it is "sequence contains ITS2". The stretch from base 1 to 52 matches the Rfam family "5.8S ribosomal RNA", at positions 103 to 154 of the family's 154-position model. The record is from RNAcentral. Lineage: Eukaryota; Fungi.